This 448-nucleotide ribosomal RNA is filed under the name uncultured bacterium. Its description in RNAcentral is "bacterial SSU rRNA". It matches the Rfam family "Bacterial small subunit ribosomal RNA", at positions 29 to 523 of the family's 1533-position model. The record is from RNAcentral.
AACGAACGCUGGCGGCAUGCCUAACACAUGCAAGUCGAACGAGACCUUCGGGUCUAGUGGCGCACGGGUGCGUAACGCGUGGGAAUCUGCCCUUGGGUCCGGAAUAACUCAGAGAAAUUUGAGCUAAUACCGGAUGAUGACGUAAGUCCAAAGAUUUAUCGCCCAGGGAUGAGCCCGCGUAGGAUUAGCUAGUUGGUGAGGUAAAGGCUCACCAAGGCGACGAUCCUUAGCUGGUCUGAGAGGAUGAUCAGCCACACUGGGACUGAGACACGGCCCAGACUCCUACGGGAGGCAGCAGUGGGGAAUAUUGGACAAUGGGCGAAGCCUGAUCCAGCAAUGCCGCGUGAGUGAUGAAGGCCUUAGGGUUGUAAAGCUCUUUUACCCGGGAUGAUAAUGACAGUACCGGGAGAAUAAGCCCCGGCUAACUCCGUGCCAGCCGCCGCCGUAA